Molecule: long non-coding RNA, 2033 nt
Organism: Cavia porcellus (domestic guinea pig)
Lineage: Eukaryota; Metazoa; Chordata; Mammalia; Rodentia; Caviidae
Exons: 4
Source: RefSeq, a predicted model, not a curated record
UCGGUCUGUGACCUGAACGAGUCCCCACCUUCCCCGGGCCUGGCUGCAGGUCCGUCAAUGCGGUCCCACUCAAAACGCAAAGGGGCAGGAAGAGACGGCACCCGGGGCUUUCUCAAGGAGAAAACCGCCCCGCGCCGGGCAUCAGAAGUCACUGGCCGCUGAGUCCUGGUACCCACAGCGAGCAGGGUCUCAUUAGUUGCUAACUUGCCCAGACUGGGCUUGGACUAGUGAUUCUCCUGACUCAGCCUCCUGAACUGGGACCACAGGGACGCCGCACCACACCUGCCUUCAGUUCACCCAUCUGCAAUCUCACUGCUCUUCGUCCGUUCAGAAGGUUGAGCACGCAUCUCCCCUCUGAUCUCAGAAUGUUUCACUGCUGAAAAAGAAAACCCCAGAUCCACCAGCAGCCGCCCCCACCACAUCCCUGUGUCCUCCUCCCGUCAAGCCAAGGCACCGGCAGCCGCUUUCUGCCUGGACAUUUCACAUCUGCGGAGCCUGGGCGAGGACCCUACGAGUCCUCAGGUGGCCUGCUGUCGCCUAGGCUCACCUGCAUUGCCGCAGAGGCAGGAGAAUCUCUCUGUGGAUGGCCAAGUAAUUACUCCUGGCGUGGCACACCACAGUCUACAUGUCCAUGGGGCAGUGACGAGUGACCCUCGGGCGCACCCACCCUGGCUCUUGAGCCCAGUGCUGCUGCGAGCACUGUGCCAGGUUUGUGUAGCCCACCAGCCCCACAGUGAGAGGCUGCCCUGCCAGCACGGGCAGCUCCAGUGUUUAUUCCUCACGCUGGCCACUGCGUGCUGCCCAGCCCGGCCCACUGCAGCAUUUUAGUAAGAAGCAAGACUGUGGCCGACACACAGCGCGCUGCCGGGUGUGGACGACGGGAUCCGAUGCCUCUGCAGGCUGAGAACGCAGUCUCCCGAGCUGCUGGAACCCGGAGCCUCAAGCACGCCCAGCGCACCCCGCCCUGCCCCGAGGAGCUCCGGAGUCCGGAGGAUUGCGCAGGCGCGGCUCUGGCUCGGCUUCCCGGAUGACACAGCCGGAGUCCGGUGGCCGCUCUGCGGUUUGCUUCCCACGACUGCCGGGAAGGGAAGGAAAUGACAGAUUGUAGCUGCGAGCUGGUGAAAAUUAAGAGGGUCUCAUGGAUAGCUGCCCUUGAAUUAUGCAGUCCAGGCUGGCCUCAAAUGUGUGGGCGAUCCCCCUGCCUCAUCCUCCAGAGUGCUGAGAUCACACAUGUGCGGAGAAGUGGAGCUCGUGAGCCAUGGUCACAUUUGUAACACAUGACGGAUUUAGGGCUGCUGGAUUCCAAACCACCUAGAUCCAAGUGGAAGAAAAGAGACAAAGUGAGAGGAAGGGGAAGAGGCGGACUGAGACUGUCCUGGUCUAAGCCCAGCUCCUUAGCUGCCGUCUGCAGAGAGGAGAGGACCCACCCCACCCCACUGUCCUUCCUGGCUGUGUGACUUGGCCAGCGGAUUCGCCUCUCUGGGCCUCCCUGGGUGGUCGUGAGGAUAAAGGACGCAGACAGCCUCAUUUUGGGGUGACGGCCCUUCUGACAACCUGAAAUCCUGUGCUCUUGGUUUGGGUGGGCCUGGGGGUGCAGGGGAGACAGGGGUUCCCAGAGCCUCCUCUCUGGCGGUGCUUGGAGGCCUGCGGGGCCAUCGGGCAGGGAGUGUGGUAUCCACCACAGACACUCCACCCUGUGUGGGCUGAAUGUUCAGGUCGGAGGACAGCAGAGGUUGCCAAAGCUGCCUGAGCAUCGCCUGCAGGACAGAAGGCAGCUCCCCAGAGCCACAUACACUGCCCGCCUUACCCCACCCCACUGGGAGGCUGAGGCAGGAGAAUCACAAGUUCAAUCGCAGCCUGGGCAGUUUAGUAACUUACCAAGACACUGUCUUGACAGUUUUUAAAAGGGGCUGGAGGCUGGAAAUGUAGCUCAGCGCAAAGGUCUUGUUUCAGUCAACAGCACCGCAGAAACGGAAGCCCAGAUUUCCUGUACCGUGUUACCUGGAUACCAGAAAAUAAAGCUCUCCUCUGGG